AAGUCCUCGUCGGAUGGACAAUAAAUAUGCCGACUGGUGCGGAUGGGGUUACCCCGCCUGUUUCUUAUUUCAGUCAAAAAUAAGUGGCGAGCAUACAA
Molecule: non-coding RNA, 98 nt
Filed under: unclassified sequences
Description: wcaG RNA
Rfam family: wcaG RNA
Source: RNAcentral